UCUAGAGAGACAAUCUGACCACAGCUGCUUUGCCGCACUAUGAAGGAAAACAAAAAGAUGCCUUAGUUCCAUGGAAGGCUGCUCUGAGGGAUAUUCUGCUAAGUGGCAUCCAGACAGAACACGGAGAAGCUCCUCGAUUGCGUCUCUCCCCUGCCUUAUUGUUUCCUGCUGCCCUUGACACUCCACUGUUUGGGCUAUUGCAAGGUUAGAAGGAUGCUCACGACCAACGAGACAGAGUCCUUUGCAUAUGGCCUUGAGGAUGUGUGCUUCUGAAAUCUAACAAGUAAGUAAUAAACAGGCAGUUCUCAGAGCAAGAGGCUAAGACUGCUGCUUCACUCGGAGGAAACAAAGCUUUUCAGGGGUGGGUUACAGGUUUCCACGUCGUGAGGCAAGCAUCACCUUUUAUCAAGAAAAUAUCCUGGUUAUUUCCUUCUAUGUUCAAUAGAGUAUAUUGAUUUAAGGUUUUAUAGGACUGCAUAAUUAUGUUUUAUCACAA
Molecule: long non-coding RNA, 496 nt
Filed under: Homo sapiens (human)
Lineage: Eukaryota; Metazoa; Chordata; Mammalia; Primates; Hominidae
Description: HSALNT0205706
Source: RNAcentral